UACGUAGGGUGCGAGCGUUAAUCGGAUUUACUGGGCGUAAAGCGUGCGCAGGCGGCCCGUUAAGACAGGUGUGAAAUCCCUGGGCUCAACCUAGGAAUUGCGCUUGGUACUGGCGGGCUCGAGUGCGGUAGAGGGGGGUGGAAUUCCUGGUGUAGCAGUGAAAUGCGUAGAGAUCAGGAGGAACACCGAUGGCGAAGGCAGCCCCCUGGGCCUGUACUGACGCUCAUGCACGAAAGCGUGGGGAGCAAACAGG
RNAcentral lists this ribosomal RNA (253 nucleotides) under uncultured microorganism. Its description in RNAcentral is "partial 16S ribosomal RNA". It matches the Rfam family "Bacterial small subunit ribosomal RNA", at positions 524 to 776 of the family's 1533-position model. The record is from RNAcentral.